This 1076-nucleotide long non-coding RNA is filed under the name Monodelphis domestica (gray short-tailed opossum). Its description in RNAcentral is "lncRNA (ENSMODG00000042612.1)". The record is from RNAcentral. Lineage: Eukaryota; Metazoa; Chordata; Mammalia; Didelphimorphia; Didelphidae.
GCGGGAGGUGCUCCCCCAGGUGGGUUAGUCGUUGCCCUUUUGGCUCGGAGAGCACCACAAUGGCAUGACUAGGGUGGCUGAGCUUGGAUGUAAGGGAGUCUCAGAGGAAGUCAUUAGCCGCCCUCUCUCUCCAGUCAUCUAGGUCCAGAGCCAAGACAGGCGGCACUGGGGAUGGCCUCAGAGCCUGCUUCAGCCGCCUUCGUAGCUGUUGGCACCAAUUGUUCCCCUCCGCUCUUCCAAUGGGAGAAGUCUUCGUGUCUGCCGUAGAGUAGAUGCGCCCUAAGUAAUGGCCAGCUUUGGGUCUCCUCAGUUUCCCUCAACCUAGCUUAGCUCCUCUACUGAGACGGCUUCACCAGGGUGUGGCCAUGCUGGAGUUGGGAGCAGCCCUGAAAAGGGCUCAGCAAACCCUCCCCAUAGGGGGCUGGUCCUCACAGCCCUGGCCUUCCCACUACGGGUGCUGAUCCUCCCUGGGCCGCUAGGAGGCGCCAGAGUGCACCCAGCACUGGCCUUCCCACUACGGGUGCUGAUCCUCCCUGGGCCGCUAGGAGGCGCCAGAGUGCACCCAGCACUGGCCUUCCCACUACGGGUGCUGAUCCUCCCUGGGCCGCUAGGAGGCGCCAGAGUGCACCCAGCACUGGCCUUCCCACUACGGGUGCUGAUCCUCCCUGGGCCGCUAGGAGGCGCCAGAGUGCACCCAGCACUGGCCUUCCCACUACGGGUGCUGAUCCUCCCUGGGCCGCUAGGAGGCGCCAGAGUGCACCCAGCACUGGCCUUCCCACUACGGGUGCUGAUCCUCCCUGGGCCGCUAGGAGGCGCCAGAGUGCACACAGCACUGGCCUUCCCACUACGGGUGCUGAUCCUCCCUGGGCCUCUAGGAGGCGCCAGAGUGCACACAGCACUGGCCUUCCCACUACGGGUGCUGAUCCUCCCUGGGCCGCUAGGAGGCGCCAGAGUGCACACAGCUCUGGUCCUCCCCAACACCCAGGAAGCCCCGCCCCCCAUCCCUCUUGAGUGCAAGCUGCAAGAGACCUCGGAAGUCUUUCAAACUGCAGGAUUUGAACCCUCGUCUUCCUGCC